RNAcentral lists this ribosomal RNA (309 nucleotides) under uncultured bacterium. Its description in RNAcentral is "partial 16S ribosomal RNA". It matches the Rfam family "Bacterial small subunit ribosomal RNA", at positions 504 to 809 of the family's 1533-position model. The record is from RNAcentral.
AGAGACAGCAGUAGCCGCGGUAAUACAGAGGGUGCGAGCGUUAAUCGGAUUUACUGGGCGUAAAGCGUGCGUAGGCGGCUUUUUAAGUCGGAUGUGAAAUCCCUGAGCUUAACUUAGGAAUUGCAUUCGAUACUGGGAAGCUAGAGUAUGGGAGAGGAUGGUAGAAUUCCAGGUGUAGCGGUGAAAUGCGUAGAGAUCUGGAGGAAUACCGAUGGCGAAGGCAGCCAUCUGGCCUAAUACUGACGCUGAGGUACGAAAGCAUGGGGAGCAAACAGGAUUAGAUACCCCUGUAGUCCCUGUCUCUUAUAA